AGCAGCCGCGGUAAUUCCAGCUCCAAUAGCGUAUAUUAAAGUUGUUGCAGUUAAAAAGCUCGUAGUUGAAUUUCGGGGUUCUACCAUUGGUCGGGCAAUAGUCUGUACUGGCGUGUAGAAUUUCUACCUUCUGGGGAACCAUCAUGUUAUUUAUUUAGCGUGGUGGGAAACCAGGACCUUUACCUUGAAAAAAUUAGAGUGUUCAAAGCAGGCUUACGUCUGAAUACAUUAGCAUGGAAUAAUAAAAUAGGACGGUGGUCCUGUUUUGUUGGUUUCUGAAUCACCGUAAUGAUUAAUAGGGAUAGUUGGGGGCAUUAGUAUUCAAUUGUCAGAGGUGAAAUUCUUGGAUUUAUUGAAGACUAACUUCUGCGAAAGCAUUUGCCAAGGAUGUUUUCAUUAAUCAAGAACGAAAGUUAGGGGAUCGAAGACGAUCAGAUACCGUCGUAGUCUUAACCAUAAACUAUGCCGACUAGGGAUCGGACGAUGUUAAUUUUUCUUGACUCGUUCGGCGCCUUACGGG
RNAcentral lists this ribosomal RNA (520 nucleotides) under uncultured Gigaspora. RNAcentral's name for it is "SSU rRNA". It matches the Rfam family "Eukaryotic small subunit ribosomal RNA", at positions 569 to 1094 of the family's 1831-position model. The record is from RNAcentral. Lineage: Eukaryota; Fungi; Glomeromycota; Glomeromycetes; Diversisporales; Gigasporaceae.